GAUGAACGCUGGCGGCGUGCCUAACACAUGCAAGUCGAGCGACCAGACGGGGAGAUCGCGCUCUUGAGGUUAGCGCGUGACGGGCGGGUAACACGUGCAUAACAUACUACUAAGACUGGGAGAAUUACGGGAAACAGCAGAUACUACUACCUAAUAUCUCGUACCGCUUGGAUCAAUAGUGAUUGAGGCCUUUGGCGUUUCAUUUAGCUGGAUUCGCGCUGCAUUAGCUAGUUGGUAAGGUAACGGCUUACCAACGCAACGAAGCGUAGCUGACCUGAGAGGAUGAUCAGCCACACUGGAACUGAGACACGGUCCAGACUCCUACGGGAGGCAGCAGUAGGGAAUCUUCCGCAAUGGGCGAAAGCCUGACCUAGCAACACCGCGUGAGUGAUGAAGGUCUUCGGGUCGUAAAGCUCUGUUGUUGGGAAAGAACAAAAGUGGGAGAAGCUAUGCACGUCUUGACGGUACCUAAACAAAAAGCCACGGCUAACUACGUG
RNAcentral lists this ribosomal RNA (497 nucleotides) under uncultured bacterium. Its description in RNAcentral is "partial 16S ribosomal RNA". It matches the Rfam family "Bacterial small subunit ribosomal RNA", at positions 28 to 507 of the family's 1533-position model. The record is from RNAcentral.